Long non-coding RNA from Numida meleagris (helmeted guineafowl), 1507 nucleotides. RefSeq lists it as uncharacterized. The transcript is spliced from 3 exons. The record is from RefSeq and is a predicted model, not a curated record. NCBI's taxonomy places the organism in Eukaryota, Metazoa, Chordata, Aves, Galliformes, Numididae.
ACACCUGCAAUAGAGGCAUUUCAGGAGUACAAAUCCAUAUGUGAAAAUGAACUGGGCUUAAUGCGCUUCUCCAGCAGUCGAUAAAACGAGGGAAAAACACAGAGAAACCGUGAAUGUUGAGAAUCUUCACAGGUCUGAAAAGCCUGGGCUGUGAUUUUAAGUAACAGGGGACAGAUGAGGAGCUCAUCACUUCUAACGAUUCCCAUUUGGUUCUGUGAUUGCCUGUUCAUUCCCCACACCCGAAGGAGCACGAGGGCACGCAGAGGGACACGGAGCCCAAAAAACUCAGUGGAAAGAAGCCCUAGCACAGCUCUAGCCCUAGGGUAAGGGGUGAAAUAAAAGAGAGGAAAAGGGGUAUGGGGAGUCUGGGGAGGAACAAGCAUGGGAAAAUAGAAGGAUGAAGAGAUAAGCGGGGCAAGUCACGUGUAAUAAGGCCUGGUCAUGUUUGUCCAGGCUGGUGCAGGUUGUUCUGCCACGUUAAAAUCCACUUCUGCCUUGUGUCUUGGAUGAUGGACUCCCUGUUCUGCAGGAACACAUGCCUACAGGCUCUGAGUAUGGGAACUGGAGUCACAUACUCCAUAGGCGUGCCUGUGUUGUGUGGGUGUGCGUGUCAAAGUGUGGUCACUAGUGAACAUCCAGCUAGGCUGGUGUGGAGCUUAGGAGUCAGAUAUUGGGGUGACCAUAGGUCUGGGCCUAUCCUGGAGAGAGCAGAGGCUAACAAGGUGGCUGCUGAAGGGAUGAGAGCAUCCAAGCCUGUUACUGCAGAGCCCACACGCUCUGAAGGUCUACUAAGGGACCCUGCACGUGUGCAUGUGUCUGCAGAACUUCUAGCUGUCUGAAGCCAGCUACUGGAAGGAUCCCUAUGGAAUCAUUACAUUCUCCAGUGCCCAUCCCCUGAUGGCCUCCUCUUGGACAAAUUCCAUCAUAAUGUCCUGGAGCUAUCUUACCAACUGAUGCUUUGUCUUCUGCUGCCGUUCCCCAUCCAGUAGUUUCAGUCCAUUCAGAAAUACCACUGCAGUGAUACCAGGUGCCACCACAUUACUUCCCAGCAGUUGGAUCAUCCUUACCCUCCAAAAAGUGUUUGCCCCAGCUUGAUUGAUCGAAGGAAAGCUGUAAAGGACAAACCUGCAAUGACUCCCCACAGCCAUCCAUCUAAAGGUGGGUUAUUCUCCAGCUCCAGUAAGCGAAACAAAAGCGAAGCAUGGAAUGGGCACGCGGUGCUCAAACCUGGGGAGCUCCCAUCGGCAUUUUGUACCUGCUGAGAAUCAGGGGAAUUUCAAGAGAAAUCCAGAACUUCAAGCCACUGCAGAAGGGCUGUUUCUGGAACCUGAAUUACCAUUCCUUCAGCUAACUCGGGCACCUCUGACGCUGUUGGAAGUACAGCCUAAGCUGAAUGCAAAGGACAAAAAGUACGCUGAAUUGUUUAAAACCAUAUCUACACAUUUUUAAUUUAAAAAAAUACAUGAUUAGCAGAAAAAAAAAAUGGUGUAUGAAAACAUGGUUUUGG